UACGUAGGGUGCAAGCGUUAGUCGGAAUUACUGGGCGUAAAGCGUGCGCAGGCGGUUAUCCAAGUCAGAUGUGAAAGCCCCGGGCUUAACCUGGGAACUGCGUUUGAAACUGGAUAGCUAGAGUUUAGCAGAGGGGGGUGGAAUUCCACGUGUAGCAGUGAAAUGCGUAGAGAUGUGGAGGAACACCGAUGGCGAAGGCAGCCCCCUGGGCUAAAACUGACGCUCAGGCACGAAAGCGUGGGGAGCAAACAGG
RNAcentral lists this ribosomal RNA (253 nucleotides) under uncultured bacterium. Its description in RNAcentral is "partial 16S ribosomal RNA". It matches the Rfam family "Bacterial small subunit ribosomal RNA", at positions 524 to 776 of the family's 1533-position model. The record is from RNAcentral.